GGCGCUUUGGCUGAGUGGUUAUAGCGAUAGACUAGAAAUCUAUUCUCUUCGGAGGCGCAGGUUCGAAUCCUGCAGGCGUCG
Molecule: non-coding RNA, 81 nt
Organism: Phyllosticta capitalensis
Lineage: Eukaryota; Fungi; Ascomycota; Dothideomycetes; Botryosphaeriales; Phyllostictaceae
Source: the annotation of a GenBank genome assembly